Molecule: long non-coding RNA, 362 nt
Filed under: Sorghum bicolor (sorghum)
Lineage: Eukaryota; Viridiplantae; Streptophyta; Magnoliopsida; Poales; Poaceae
Description: long non-coding RNA (SBIC_LNC007709)
Source: RNAcentral
CAGCAAAUUACUCUGAAUGACAACAAUGAUUUUGGACAUGUUUAUGGAAUUCUGGGAAAUUCACGGUUGCCAGAUCUUAUCGACACCUAAGGCCACGUUCGGUUGGCACGAAAUCGACCGCCGGAAUCGAUCCGGCCAGGAACGUUACUCUAUUUUAUAUAGAAAACCAUCGGCAGGAAGCAUUCCGUCCGGAAUUUAGCCUAAACGAACAGACCCUAAUGGGUCACAGGACAGUCCACCUGGGUUUCAUAUGGAUUUGGAAGAGAUCCUGUCAAAACAAAACACAAGGUAUUUGCUUGGCUGAUCCUGAAAGACUGACUGAGCACCAGAGAGCUACUUAGAAGAAAACACAUGGAACUGCA